This 263-nucleotide ribosomal RNA is filed under the name uncultured Staphylococcus sp. Its description in RNAcentral is "partial 16S ribosomal RNA". It matches the Rfam family "Bacterial small subunit ribosomal RNA", at positions 99 to 354 of the family's 1533-position model. Lineage: Bacteria; Bacillati; Bacillota; Bacilli; Caryophanales; Staphylococcaceae. The record is from RNAcentral.
CGGACGGGUGAGUAACACGUGGAUAACCUACCUAUAAGACUGGGAUAACUUCGGGAAACCGGAGCUAAUGCCGGAUAAUAUAUUGAACCGCAUGGUUCAAUGGUGAAAGACGGUUUUGCUGUCACUUAUAGAUGGAUCCGCGCCGCAUUAGCUAGUUGGUAAGGUAACGGCUUACCAAGGCAACGAUGCGUAGCCGACCUGAGAGGGUGAUCGGCCACACUGGAACUGAGACACGGUCCAGACUCCUACGGGAGGCAGCAGGU